This 511-nucleotide ribosomal RNA is filed under the name uncultured bacterium. RNAcentral describes it as "bacterial SSU rRNA". It matches the Rfam family "Bacterial small subunit ribosomal RNA", at positions 29 to 521 of the family's 1533-position model. The record is from RNAcentral.
AACGAACGCUGGCGGCGCGCCUAACACAUGCAAGUCGAACGAGAAUCCGGGGCAACCCGGUAGUAAAGUGGCAAACGGGUGAGGAAUACAUGGGUAACCUACCCUUGAGAAGGGAAUAACCCGCCGAAAGGUGAGCUAAUACCCUAUACGCUAUCUUUUUUUCGAAAGGAAUAGGAAAGCCGGGUCGAGGACCUGGUACUCAAGGAGGGGCUCAUGUCCUAUCAGCUUGUUGGUGGGGUAACGGCUCACCAAGGCAACGAUCAGUAGCCGGUCUGAGAGGAUGAACGGCCACACUGGGACUGAGACACGGCCCAGACUCCUACGGGAGGCAGCAGUGGGGAAUCUUCCGCAAUGGACGAAAGUCUGACGGAGCAACGCCGCGUGGAUGAAGAAGGUCUUCGGAUUGUAAAGUCCUGUUUUUAGGGUAAGAAUGUGCCGGUAGUGAAUAAUUACAGGCAAUGACGGUACCUAAAGAGGAAGUCACGGCUAACUACGUGCCAGCAGCCGCGGU